UCUUUUAUCAUCUCCGUAUGAAACAAGCCACAAAAGCCUCCACCAAUUACCAACACUCAGCUUUCUUUUUCCUCCACUGUAGGCACCGCCAAAACUCUGCAACAACAAAGCAAUCACCAUCUCCAAAACAACAAACCCUCCACCCUGCAACAACAAUGCAAUCACCAUCUCCAUGAACAACAGUAACAAAUCCUCCACUGCAAACAACAAUAACCCUUCUACUGCAAAAAACAACACUGCAACCCACCACAAACAAAUGACAGUGGAAAAAAAGUAGAAAAUACAAAAUAAGAAAAAUCAAAAGAAAAUAAGAUCGGAACAACAAUGCAACUGUCACCCAAGAACUCUUUCUGCUUUUGGUAACUCACCACCGUCAGUGUCCCAUCGCCGCCACACACAGCGGCGCCCCUCUUCUCAACAUUCACGUUAUCUUUUUUCCUCCUUUUGGUCCGAUCUAAUCCCUUGCUCGCGCACGAAUUUGGCGGCCGCAGAUGGCAACAUCCUUGAGCUGCCGCUGCACGGUUUUAGGGGGAAAAAAGGAGACGGUAGAAGCGGAUGAGAUCUCUUUAUGGUAACAGGAGUUUCAUCGAGAACACCUGCGGAUUUGAGAAGAAAAGGGGAGAACUCCUGCGGAUUAGAGCAGAAAAAGGGAGGACACCUGCGGGUGAGAGUUUCAUCGAGAGCAGAAAAAAAGUGAGAGGGAAAGAGAAAACACCUGCGGUAGAGAUGGAGAGGGUGGACUGAGAAGGAGAGGGAAAGAGGGAGAGAAAGAGAAAAGAUAGAAAGGGUAAAUUUGGAAAAUAAGUGAAAAAGGAAAUUUAAAAAAAAAAAAAGGAAGAAGAGUUUGAACCACUGAUUUCGG
This 862-nucleotide long non-coding RNA is filed under the name Glycine max (soybean). RNAcentral describes it as "long non-coding RNA (GMAX_LNC000148)". Lineage: Eukaryota; Viridiplantae; Streptophyta; Magnoliopsida; Fabales; Fabaceae. The record is from RNAcentral.